GAUGAACGCUGGCGGCGUGCCUAAUACAUGCAAGUCGAGCGAACGGACGAGAAGCUUGCUCCCCUGAUGUUAGCGGCGGACGGGUGAGUAACACGUGGAUAACCUACCUAUAAGACUGGGAUAACUUCGGGAAACCGUAGCUAAUACCGGAUAAUAUUUUGAACCGCAUGGUUCAAAAGUGAAAGACGGUCUUGCCGUCACUUAUAGAUGGAUCCGCGUUGCAUUAGCUAGUUGGUAAGGUAACGGCUUACCAAGGCAACGAUGCAUAGCCGACCUGAGAGGGUGAUCGGCCACACUGGAACUGAGACACGGUCCAGACUCCUACGGGAGGCAGCAGUAGGGAAUCUUGCGCAAUGGGCGAAAGCCUGACGGAGCAACGCCGCGUGGGUGAUGAAGGUCUUCGGAUCGUAAAACUCUGUUAUUGGGGAAGAACAUAUGUGUAAGUAACUGUGCACAUCUUGACGGUACCUAAUCAGAAAGCCACGGCUAACUACGUG
This 497-nucleotide ribosomal RNA is filed under the name uncultured bacterium. Its description in RNAcentral is "partial 16S ribosomal RNA". It matches the Rfam family "Bacterial small subunit ribosomal RNA", at positions 28 to 507 of the family's 1533-position model. The record is from RNAcentral.